CUUACCUAAACGUUGCUUCGGCGGGAAUAGACGGCCCUGUAAAACGGGCCGCCCCCGCCAGAGGACCCUUAACUCUGUUUCUUAUAAUGUUUCUUCUGAGUAAAACAAGCAAAUAAAUUAAAACUUUCAACAACGGAUCUCUUGGCUCUGGCAUCGAUGAAGAACGCAGCGAAAUGCGAUAAGUAAUGUGAAUUGCAGAAUUCAGUGAAUCAUCGAAUCUUUGAACGCACAUUGCGCCCGCCAGUAUUCUGGCGGGCAUGCCUGUUCGAGCGUCAUUACAACCCUCAGGCCCCCGGGCCUGGCGUUGGGGAUCGGCGGAGCGCCCCUCGUGGGCGCACGCCGUCCCCCAAAUACAGUGGCGGUCCCGCCGCAGCUUCCAUCGCGUAGUAGCUAACACCUCGCGACUGGAGAGCGGCGCGGCCACGCCGUAAAACACCCCAACUCUUCUGAAGUUGACCUCGAAUCAGGUAGGAAUACCCGCUGAACUUAAGCAUAUCAAUAAGCGGAGGA
This is a ribosomal RNA of 510 nucleotides. The stretch from base 122 to 275 matches the Rfam family "5.8S ribosomal RNA".